GACGAACGCUGGCGGCGUGCCUAACACAUGCAAGUCGAACGGAGUCUUGCGUCAACACAGAGUGCUUUUUAAAGAGCACUGUGUGUUGAUGUAAGACUUAGUGGCGGACGGGUGAGUAACACGUGAGCAACCUGCCCAUGGGAGGGGGAUAACAUACCGAAAGGUAUGCUAAUACCGCAUAACGUAUGUUUGCCGCAUGACAGACAUACCAAAGAUUUAUCGCCCAUGGAUGGGCUCGCGGCCGAUUAGGUAGUUGGUGAGGUAACGGCUCACCAAGCCGACGAUCGGUAGCCGGACUGAGAGGUUGAACGGCCACAUUGGGACUGAGACACGGCCCAGACUCCUACGGGAGGCAGCAGUGGGGAAUAUUGCGCAAUGGGGGAAACCCUGACGCAGCGACGCCGCGUGAAGGAUGAAGGUCUUCGGAUCGUAAACUUUUGUCAUCGGGGACGAGUAAGGACGGUACCCGAGGAGGAAGCCACGGCUAACUACGUGCC
RNAcentral lists this ribosomal RNA (497 nucleotides) under uncultured bacterium. Its description in RNAcentral is "bacterial SSU rRNA". It matches the Rfam family "Bacterial small subunit ribosomal RNA", at positions 28 to 509 of the family's 1533-position model. The record is from RNAcentral.